This 352-nucleotide unclassified non-coding RNA is filed under the name soil metagenome. RNAcentral describes it as "partial contains 5.8S ribosomal RNA, internal transcribed spacer 2, and large subunit ribosomal RNA". The stretch from base 1 to 120 matches the Rfam family "5.8S ribosomal RNA", at positions 35 to 154 of the family's 154-position model. The record is from RNAcentral.
GAUGAAGAACGCAGCGAAAUGCGAUAAGUAAUGUGAAUUGCAGAAUUCAGUGAAUCAUCGAAUCUUUGAACGCUCAUUGCGUCCGCCAGUAUUCUGGCGGGCAUGCCUGUUCGAGCGUCAUUACAACCCUCAGGCCCCCGGGCCUGGCGUUGGGGAUCGGCGGAGCCCCCCGUGGGCACACGCCGUCCCCCAAAUGCAGUGGCGGUCCCGCCGCAGCUUCCAUCGCGUAGUAGCUAACACCUCGCGCCUGGAGAGCGGCGCGGCCACGCCGUAAAACACCCAACUCUUCUGAAGUUGACCUCGAAUCAGGUAGGAAUACCCGCUGAACUUAAGCAUAUCAAUAAGCGGAGGA